Molecule: long non-coding RNA, 405 nt
Filed under: Ananas comosus (pineapple)
Lineage: Eukaryota; Viridiplantae; Streptophyta; Magnoliopsida; Poales; Bromeliaceae
Description: long non-coding RNA (ACOM_LNC009473)
Source: RNAcentral
AAAACACUGGACCCACACCCUUCAACAAAAAAUUUAAUUCCUAUAGACUAAACUUCAAAUACCACUUGUGUGAUUUUCGCACUUUCUUAGUUUAGUACCAUAUAGUUUAAAAUGUGUUAAAUUAGUGUCCUGUAAUUUCAUUUUUAUCUUUUCGUCAACUUUUUUGUUAAUAUUUUAUUAAAUUAUAUAUAAAAAAUUUCAGAUAUUCUAUUUAGGUUUAUUAAAUAUUCACUUUAGUACCCUUUAGUUUCAACUUUGUUACUGAUUUAACGAAAAAAAUAAUGAAAUCAAUAAUAAAAGGAUAAAAAUAAAAUCACAUGACACUAAAUUGCUAUACUUUAAAUCACAUGAUAUUAUAGUGAGAAAGUAUGAAACUACAGAAAUGAUAUAUGAAGUUUUUCCUUU